UACGUAGGGGGCGAGCGUUGUCCGAAGUUACUGGGCGUAAAGAGUACGUAGGUGGCUUGUUAAGAUACAUCUGAAAGGCGACAGCUCAACUGUCAAUGGUGGUGUAAGACUGGCAGGCUUGAGGCAAGCAGAAGAGUGUGGAACUCCGAGUGUAGCGGUGGAAUGCGUAGAGAUUCGGAAGAACACCCAUGGCGAAGGCAGCACUCUGGGCUUGAACCGCAAGGUGAACCUGACACUGAGGUACGAAAGCCAGGGGAGCGAACGGG
RNAcentral lists this ribosomal RNA (266 nucleotides) under uncultured bacterium. RNAcentral describes it as "partial 16S ribosomal RNA". It matches the Rfam family "Bacterial small subunit ribosomal RNA", at positions 524 to 776 of the family's 1533-position model. The record is from RNAcentral.